AGAGUAGGACACCGCGCGUGAAGUGCCGCCGGACGGGGAGUUGCCGGUCGGACGAAAAGGGCUUGCCCUUGCGGUUCGGUGUCCGCAUCCCGCU
RNAcentral lists this non-coding RNA (94 nucleotides) under human gut metagenome. Its description in RNAcentral is "THF riboswitch". It matches the Rfam family "THF (Tetrahydrofolate) riboswitch aptamer". Rfam says of the family: THF riboswitch presents a pseudoknot that joins P1-P2 and the loop of P3 and two THF binding. RNAcentral also lists the same sequence under 1 other name. The record is from RNAcentral.